UCGAAAGCUUGCUUUCGGUAGCCGGCGACCGGCGCACGGGUGAGUAACGCGUAUCGAACCUGCCUCAUACUCGGGAAUAGCCUUGCGAAAGUAAGAUUAAUGCCCGGUGUUUUCAGAGUCCCGCAUGAGGCUUUGAACAAAGAUUUAUCGGUAUGAGAUGGCGAUGCGUCCCAUUAGCUUGUUGGCGGGGUAACGGCCCACCAAGGCAUCGAUGGGUAGGGGUUCUGAGAGGAAGGUCCCCCACAUUGGAACUGAGACACGGUCCAAACUCCUACGGGAGGCAGCAGUGAGGAAUAUUGGUCAAUGGGCGGAAGCCUGAACCAGCCAAGUAGCGUGCAGGAAGACGGCCCUCCGGGUUGUAAACUGCUUUUAGUUGGGAAUAAAACGGGGCUCGUGAGCCCCCUUGCAUGUACCAUCAGAAAAAGGACCGGCUAAUUCCGUGCCAGCAGCCGCGGUAAUACGGAAGGUUCGGGCGUUAUCCGGAUUUAUUGGGUUUAAAGGGAGCGCAGGCGGACCUUUAAGUCAGCUGUGAAAUACGGCGGCUCAACCGUCGAACUGCAGUUGAUACUGGAGGUCUUGAGUGCACACAGGGAUGCUGGAAUUCAUGGUGUAGCGGUGAAAUGCUCAGAUAUCAUGAAGAACUCCGAUCGCGAAGGCAGGCAUCCGGGGUGCAACUGACGCUGAGGCUCGAAAGUGCGGGUAUCAAACAGGAUUAGAUACCCUGGUAGUCCGCACAGUAAACGAUGAAUACUCGCGGUUUGCGAUACAGUGUAAGCCGCCAAGCGAAAGCGUUAAGUAUUCCACCUGGGGAGUACGCCGGCAACGGUGAAACUCAAAGGAAUUGAC
This 846-nucleotide ribosomal RNA is filed under the name uncultured bacterium. RNAcentral's name for it is "bacterial SSU rRNA". It matches the Rfam family "Bacterial small subunit ribosomal RNA", at positions 68 to 914 of the family's 1533-position model. The record is from RNAcentral.